AUUGAACGCUGGCGGCAGGCCUAACACAUGCAAGUCGAGCGGAUGAAGGGAGCUUGCUCCUGGAUGCAGCGGCGGACGGGUGGGUAAUGCCUAGGAAUCUGCCUGGUAUUGGGGGAUAACGUCCGGAAACGGGCGCUAAUACCGCAUACGUCCUGAGGGAGAAAGUGGGGGAUCUUCGGUCCUCACGCUAUCAGAUGAGCCUAGGUCGGAUUAGCUAGUUGGUGGGGUAAAGGCCUACCAAGGCGACGAUCCGUAACUGGUCUGAGAGGAUGAUCAGUCACACUGGAACUGAGACACGGUCCAGACUCCUACGGGAGGCAGCAGUGGGGAAUAUUGGGCAAUGGGCGAAAGCCUGAUCCAGCCAUGCCGCGUGUGUGAAGAAGGUCUUCGGAUAGUAAAGCACUUUAAGUUGGGAGGAAGGGCAGUAAGUUAAUACCUUGCUGUUUUGACGUUACCAACAGAAUAAGCACCGGCUAACUUCGUG
RNAcentral lists this ribosomal RNA (484 nucleotides) under uncultured bacterium. RNAcentral describes it as "partial 16S ribosomal RNA". It matches the Rfam family "Bacterial small subunit ribosomal RNA", at positions 30 to 507 of the family's 1533-position model. The record is from RNAcentral.